RNAcentral lists this ribosomal RNA (439 nucleotides) under uncultured bacterium. RNAcentral describes it as "bacterial SSU rRNA". It matches the Rfam family "Bacterial small subunit ribosomal RNA", at positions 954 to 1391 of the family's 1533-position model. The record is from RNAcentral.
AUGGGAACGCGAAGAACCUUACCUAGACUUGACAUCUCCUGAAUAGUGUAGAGAUACAUGAAGCCCUUCGGGGCAGGAAGACAGGUGGUGCAUGGUUGUCGUCAGCUCGUGUCGUGAGAUGUUGGGUUAAGUCCCGCAACGAGCGCAACCCUUGUCCUUAGUUGCCAGCGAGUAAAGUCGGGAACUCAUGGGAGACUGCCGCAGACAAUGCGGAGGAAGGCGGGGAUGACGUCAAAUCAUCAUGCCCUUUAUGAUCUGGGCUACACACGUACUACAAUGGGCUUAAAUAGAGGGAAGCAAGACCGCGAGGUGGAGCGAACCCCAAAAACAAGCUCUCAGUUCGGAUCGCAGGCUGCAACUCGCCUGCGUGAAAUCGGAAUCGCUAGUAAUCGCAGAUCAGCAUGCUGCGGUGAAUACGCUCCCGGGUCUUGUACACACC